CUCCGUACUACAAUUCUUCUAUCUAGCUACCAAGCUACUACUAUCUAAAAGAAAAGAAGUCUAAAAAUGUGUUCAGCUGCCAAGCUUGGCACGUCCCAUCACCAUAAACUUCCACCUAAUCAAAUAUUCAUUCCAUGAAAAUAAAGAAAAUGCUCCCUCCUUCGGCAUCCAGCACACACCGUACACACCUAUUGUAUUCUACCUAAUCUAUUUUUGAAAACUUUGUUUAAUUCUCAAAUAAAAUUGGUGCAGCAGUUCUCAUCAGCCACCUCUACUUUCUAAAAGCCAAAAUAAAUGAAAAUGAAUAAAGAUCCCAUCCAGACCGUGGCACCAUUUUUGCAUUGAAAAGCUUAACCGUGAAGCACUUUCUCCCUUCCAGCCGGUGACACAUCUUCCAAACAUUCAAAAACUCAACUAUUUAAUAAAAAAAAAUACAAAGCAAACCAAGUAAAUCAAAGUAGCUACUGGACCGUGCCCCUUCAUUCAACCAAAUUCAUCCAAUGUCAACAUGUUCAAAAGAUAAAAAAAAUGAAAAACGUUACAGCCAAUUAACAUCCCAGCCCUUUUAAAGUGUGUGGCUCCUCCUUUUAAUCUUCAAUUGCCGAGACCAAAAAGAGAG
RNAcentral lists this long non-coding RNA (619 nucleotides) under Vigna radiata. RNAcentral's name for it is "long non-coding RNA (VRAD_LNC002046)". The record is from RNAcentral. Lineage: Eukaryota; Viridiplantae; Streptophyta; Magnoliopsida; Fabales; Fabaceae.